This is a non-coding RNA of Mycena rebaudengoi, 99 nucleotides long. Lineage: Eukaryota; Fungi; Basidiomycota; Agaricomycetes; Agaricales; Mycenaceae. The record is from the annotation of a GenBank genome assembly.
GACCCAGUGGUGUAAUGUAACACUCCAGUUCCUCAUAUAUCGUCGACGUUCUUUUCACUCCGUCAGCUGGCGAUCCCCGUUCGACUCGGGGCUGGGUCA